This 497-nucleotide ribosomal RNA is filed under the name uncultured bacterium. RNAcentral describes it as "partial 16S ribosomal RNA". It matches the Rfam family "Bacterial small subunit ribosomal RNA", at positions 28 to 507 of the family's 1533-position model. The record is from RNAcentral.
GAUGAACGCUGGCGGCGUGCCUAAUACAUGCAAGUCGAGCGAACAGACGAGGAGCUUGCUCCUCUGACGUUAGCGGCGGACGGGUGAGUAACACGUGGAUAACCUACCUAUAAGACUGGGAUAACUUCGGGAAACCGGAGCUAAUACCGGAUAAUAUAUUGAACCGCAUGGUUCAAUAGUGAAAGACGGUUUUGCUGUCACUUAUAGAUGGAUCCGCGCCGCAUUAGCUAGUUGGUAAGGUAACGGCUUACCAAGGCAACGAUGCGUAGCCGACCUGAGAGGGUGAUCGGCCACACUGGAACUGAGACACGGUCCAGACUCCUACGGGAGGCAGCAGUAGGGAAUCUUCCGCAAUGGGCGAAAGCCUGACGGAGCAACGCCGCGUGAGUGAUGAAGGUCUUCGGAUCGUAAAACUCUGUUAUUAGGGAAGAACAAAUGUGUAAGUAACUAUGCACGUCUUGACGGUACCUAAUCAAGAAGCCACGGCUAACUACGUG